Zingiber officinale is the source of this 302-nucleotide long non-coding RNA. RefSeq lists it as uncharacterized. The transcript has 3 exons. Lineage: Eukaryota; Viridiplantae; Streptophyta; Magnoliopsida; Zingiberales; Zingiberaceae. The record is from RefSeq and is a predicted model, not a curated record.
GUCAGAACCUCGGCCAAGAGAGGAAAGGCCGAGCCCUAGCCUUGAUUCACUGCCGCCACCUUCUACUUGUCUCCGGUGGAGGAUCACAGGUCAAGGCUUCGGAUUUGGGUCUGCCAUCGUUGGUUACCUGGCUGCCGGGAGAUAGUCUUCGUCGGAGUUAAUUCCAUGGGCACAGAUUUGAGCACUGUCACCUUGCCGAUCACCACUUACUCCGGCCAAUAACACCAGCAAUACCACGAUCGAGUUUGGGACUCUGAUUCGAGAUGAGCGUCUCGACAUCGGAUUUGGUUUGAUACGAUUUU